GGAUUCCCCUAGUAAUGGCGAAUGAAGCGGGAACAGCUCAAAUUUGAAAUCUCCGUCGCCUGCGACGGCGAAUUGUAGUUUCGAGAAGCGCUUUCUAGGCGGAGCCGGCGCCGUCCAAGUUGCUUGGAACAGCACGUCAUAGAGGGUGACAACCCCGUCUGUGGCGGAGCCGGCCGCCCACGAUGCGCUUUCGACGAGUCGGGUUGUUUGGGAAUGCAGCCCAAAAUGGGUGGUAAACUCCAUCUAAAGCUAAAUAUUGGCACGAGACCGAUAGCGAACAAGUACCGUGAGGGAAAGAUGAAAAGCACUUUGAAAAGAGAGUUAAAAAGUACGUGAAACCGUUAAAAGGGAAACGAAUGGGGUUAGCAAUGCGUUGCGCGAGAUUCAGCCGGCGGGCGGCACGGACGGGCGGUUUGCGGAUCUGAAUGGACCGCGGCCGUCCGGCUCGGGCCCUCGGCCGUCGCACUUCUCGCCAGCGCGCGCCAGCGUCGGUUGGGACCGGGUCUCAAGGGCGCCGGGAAGGUAGGUGAGGCCCCUCGGGGCCGCACUGUUACAGACCGGCGUUGCAUGGCUCGGGCCCGACCGAGGAGCCGCGGCGUGUGCCUCUUCUGGCUGGGGUCCUGUCGGUCCGGUCGGUAGUCGACUGCGGUGGACUGCGUGCAGUGCGCCGCGACUGCUGCCGGUCGCGCCGGCGGUGACCUCACACCACGCGCCCAGGACGCUGGCGGUCACAUGGCCUCAUCCGACCCGUCUUGAAACACGGACCAAGGAGUCUAACAUGUGCGCGAGUCUUCGAGUGAUCGAAACUCCCGGGCGCAAUGAAAGUGAAGGCGGCCCCGCGCCGCCGAGGUGAGAACCCCUCCCUCGGGGGGGGCGCAUCAUCGACCGACCUAUUCUACUCUUAGGAAGGUUUGAGUAAGAGCGCACC
RNAcentral lists this ribosomal RNA (928 nucleotides) under Heteractis magnifica (magnificent sea anemone). RNAcentral describes it as "eukaryotic LSU rRNA". It matches the Rfam family "Eukaryotic large subunit ribosomal RNA", at positions 72 to 806 of the family's 3401-position model. The record is from RNAcentral. Lineage: Eukaryota; Metazoa; Cnidaria; Anthozoa; Actiniaria; Stichodactylidae.